AGAGUUUGAUCAUGGCUCAGGAUGGACGCUAGCUACAGGCUUAACACAUGCAAGUCGAGGGGAAACGACAUCGAAAGCUUGCUUUUGAUGGGCGUCGACCGGCGCACGGGUGAGUAACGCGUAUCCAACCUGCCCACCACUUGGGGAUAACCUUGCGAAAGUAAGACUAAUACCCAAUGACGUCUCUAGAAGACAUCUGAAGGAGAUUAAAGAUUUAUCGGUGAUGGAUGGGGAUGCGUCUGAUUAGCUUGUUGGCGGGGUAACGGCCACCAAGGCGACGAUCAGUAGGGGUUCUGAGAGGAAGGUCCCCCANAUUGGAACUGAGACACGGUCCAAACUCCUACGAGAGGCA
This 352-nucleotide ribosomal RNA is filed under the name uncultured bacterium. RNAcentral describes it as "bacterial SSU rRNA". It matches the Rfam family "Bacterial small subunit ribosomal RNA", at positions 8 to 350 of the family's 1533-position model. The record is from RNAcentral.